This 253-nucleotide ribosomal RNA is filed under the name uncultured bacterium. RNAcentral describes it as "partial 16S ribosomal RNA". It matches the Rfam family "Bacterial small subunit ribosomal RNA", at positions 524 to 776 of the family's 1533-position model. The record is from RNAcentral.
UACGGAGAGUGCAAGCGUUGCUCGGAUUUACUGGGCUUAAAGCGGGAGUAGGCGGUUGAGUGUAUUUAUUGUGAAAUUCUAUGGCCUAACCAUAGAAACGCAAUAAAUAUUACUCAACUAGAAUCAGCGGGAGGCAAGUGGAAUUCCGGGUGUAGGGGUGAAAUCCAUUGAUAUCCGGAAGAACACCGGAGGCGAAGGCGACUUGCUACCGUUGGAUUGACGCUGAGUCCCGAAAGCUAGGGGAGCAAACCGG